This 35817-nucleotide long non-coding RNA is filed under the name Triticum aestivum (bread wheat). RNAcentral describes it as "long non-coding RNA (TAES_LNC023888)". Lineage: Eukaryota; Viridiplantae; Streptophyta; Magnoliopsida; Poales; Poaceae. The record is from RNAcentral.
AUUUUUAUGAAAGUCUUCAAAACACGAGGUCUUUGAAGACAAACAAUCAAAUUGAACCUAUAUGAUAUGCUGCGGAAGAAAGACUACAGUAGACAGACCAUAGUCAAGUAAGCAAUAUAAUGAAAGCACAAAGACUAAUAGCAACUAGGUAGUACAGAUCGGAAUGGAAGACAGAAUGAAGCCAAACAUGUAAUAGGCUACGCACAGUGAAGUCAAACAGAUCAAGCAAGCAAGCAAUGACUUCACGAAGACAAACUAAAAUGUAAAGAAUGUAGGGAUAGAACCAGUAGCUUGGUGAAGACAAGGAUUUGGUAGACCAGUUCCAGUUGCUGUGACAACUGUAUGUCUGGUUAGGGAGGCUGAGAUUGAUCUCAGAAGACCGUGUCUUCACCUUAUUCCACUUGAGCGAAGGACACCCAGUCCUCGCCCAAUCACUCUGGUAAGUCUUCAAGGUAGACUUCCAAAACUUCACAGACUCCGUUCAUUGGCGAUACACAAUGACUCUUGGAUCCUCAGAACGUGACGCCUAACCGGCUAGAGGAUACAUGGUCCUCAAGUGUAACAAGUCUUCAGGUCACACGGACAGAAAGACUUCAGUGAUGCCUAACACUCUUUGGCUCUCGGUGUUUUGGGCUUUGUCCUCGCAAGGAUCUCUCUGAAAGGCUUUGAAGGUGGGUUGCGCUCAAACGACAAAAGUCGUGCACUAACUCUGAGUAGCCACCAAUUUAUGGUGUAGGGGGUGGGCUAUUUAUAGCCAGGAGGCAACCCAACAUGAUAUGUCUGAAAUGACCCUGGGUAACUAAGGAACCGACACGUGUCCAAUGGUCGGAUUUCAAACACACGCGGCAGCUUGGCUUAGGCUACAAGCAAAGCUGACUCAUCCAACUCUGGAUAAGAUUUGCUCUCAUUGUCUUCACUCGAAGACAUAGGAUUUGGGUUGAGCAUCACGCCAGUCUUCUGACUUUGUUCACUUGGACCCCACUUAACAGUUCGGUGGUUCCUAUGAUUCAAUAAAGAAGAAAAGGAAACUACGAAAGAAACCAUGUCUUCGCAUUCCAUAGUCUUCAAGUGAAUGUCUUCACACGUCAUUAUCUUCAACGUGAAUGUCUUCAUGAACCACCAUGGUCUUCAAUGUCUUCAUACAUUUUUAGGGGUCAUCUCUGGUAGCUAAACUAAAUCAAUGAGGGACUACUAUCUAUGUUAUCCUACAGUUCUCACAAACACAUUAGUCCCUCAACCAUGUUUGUCGUCAAUACUCCAAAACCAACUAGGGGUGGCACUAGAUGCACUUACAACUUUGUUUCAAACCAAACUCAAAUUCAAAUUUAAAAAUGCAAGUCAAAAAUUUAUUUCUUCAAACAGUAAACUAAAAUGUUCACAUUAUCCUAUAAAUUCCCUUGAUCAUUGUCAUGUUGAAACUAGCCUCAUUUGAAUUCCCAAAAUGUCCCUGAGAACUAAUUUAGUGGUCCAGCAACAAUUAAAUUGGCCUUUUCAAUUUCUAAAAAUGGUUAGACAACUCCUUUUGACCCCAAACUUUUUGUUCCAUCUCAAGAUAUUGUGUUAGAAUUAGUGCCAAGUUUUGUUCCAAACAAAAAUCAUUUGGUACUAAAAGAAAACACAAAAUAGUCAAAAUUAGGAAAAGAAAAAAGAAAAUGUAAACAACUACUGUGGACUGGUCCGUAAGUGCACAAUGCACGGCCUAGCCCAACAGCCGGUCGUCUUCAACCCUGUCCACGGGGGCGCGGUGGACGCCGUCGGCACGUCCGUGGCGUGGAUCCGCCACGGGGCGGCCAUCCACAGGCCCCCCAGCUUUCCUAUACGAGCCCGUCGGCCCCCUGCCAACCCUAGACCACCACUUCCCCCUCCAAGCGCUGCCUUCUUCUUCCCCACAGACCCGAGCCGCCGUCGCCAUGCCGCACUGCGCCCGCGUGCCCACCGUCCUCCCCGGAGCCAGGGAUCGUGUCCAGCCACUCCGCCCACGUUGUCUUCAUUGUCUACACCAGCAGCUGGAGGCGGGGAAGCCCCAUCGACGUCGCCCACAACCCGUCUUCUCCAACUGUGGUCGCCACUGCUCACCUCGAGUCGCCACCUCUAGUGCUUCCCCAAGCUCGUUGACCUCCCCUUCCGCACCACUGUGAGCCAGCGUCCUUCCCCCUCUCUUUGGCUUGAUCUGUAGCUGCCGCUUGCUGUUAUCGUUACCGUUGCUACGGCCGCCGUCGUAAAGCUCACCACCGUAGCCACUGCAUACCUACCGAGCGCACCAGCUUGCUUAGGGCCUCGCGGUGAUGUCGUCUGAGCCCUCAGAUUAGCUUGUCUCACGCCGCAACGUUGAACCCCCACCUGCCCGUGUUUCGGACGCCGCCUUAGCUCACCAUCGGCGCUGUUUACGACCUCCCCAGCUCGCGCGUUUGGCUCCAUUAGAUGCACUGAUAACCCACAAGUAUAUGGGAUCGCAACAGUUUUAGAGGGUAGAGUAUUCAACCCAAAUUUAUAGAUUCGACACAAGGGGAGCCAAAGAAUAUUUGCAAGUAUUAUCAGCUGAGUUGUCAAUUCAACCACACCUGGAGAUUAAAUAUCUGCAGCAAAGUGAUCAGUAGCACAGUAGUAUGAUAGUUUUGAUAGUAGUGGUAACAACAAUAGUAACGGUAACAGUGAUAGCAAUGAUUUUGUAGCAGUUGUAACCGUAACAACAGUGGUAGUAACUUAGCAAGAACAAUAUGUAGGAAAUUCAUAGGCAUUGGAUCGGUGGAUUCAUUGGAUGAUAUUCAUCAUAUAACAGUCAUAACCUAAGGCGAUACAAAACUAGCUCCAGUUCAUAAAUAUAAUGUAGGCAUGUAUUUCGUAAAUAGUCAUACGUGCUUAUGGAAAGAACUUGUAUGACAUCUUUUGUCCUACCCUCCCGUGGCAGCAGGGUCCAUAAGGAAACUAAGGGAUACUAAGGCCUCCUUUUAAUAUAGAACCGGAAGAAAGCAUUAACACAUAGUGAAUGCAUGAACUCCUCAAACUACGGUCAUCACCGAAAAGUAUCCCAAUUACUGUCACACUGGGGUUUACAAAUCAUAACACGUAAUAGGUGAAUAUGACUUGCAAGAUCAGAUCUAGAAUAUAGAUAUAAUGGUGAAAACAUAAACGGUUCAGAUCUGAAAGCAUGGCACCCGGGCCCAAAGUGACAAGCAUUAAGCAUGGCAAAGUCAUAACAACAUCAAUCUCAGAACAUAAUGGAUACUAGGGAUCAAACCCUAACAAAACUAACUCGAUUACAUGAUGAAUCUCAUCCAACUCCACACCAACCAGCGAGCCUAUGAUGGAAUUACUCACUCCCGGUGGGGAGCAUCAUGGAGUUGGCGAUGAAGGAGGGUUGGUGAUGAUGAAGAUCGAAUAUCCCCCUCUCCGGAGCCCCAAACGGACUCCAGAUCUGGCCUCCUGAUGAAGAACAGGAGGCGGCGGUGGCUCCGUAUCGUGAAAUGCGAUGAAACUUCCCCCGGUUUUUCUCUCCAAAUAUGGGUAUUUAAGGAGUUGGAAUUAGUGUCUGCGGGGCCACCAGGUGGGCACAACUCACCUGGGUGCGCCUGGAGGGGGUGGCGCGCCCUGGUGGGUUGUGCUCAACCAGGGGCGCCCCUCUGAUGGUUCUUGGCUCUAGUAUUUUAUAUAUAUUCUGAAAUAAUUCUCCAAAAAGUUUUGGUCCAAUCCGAGAACUUUUAUUUCUGCACAAAAAACAACACCAUGGUAAUUCUGCUGAAAACAUCGUCAGUCCGGGUUCAUUCAAAUCACGCAAACUAGAGUCCAAAACAAGAGGAAACACAUUAGGAAAAGUAGAUACGACGAAGACAUAUCAACUCCCCCAAGCUUAAACCUUUGCUUGUCCUCAAGCAAUUCAGUUGAUAAACUGAAAGUGAAAAAGAAAAACUUUUACGAACUAUUUUGCUCUUAUUUACAUAAUAAGUUUAAGUAGCACCCAGGUUUUCAGCAAAGAUCAUGGCCAACCAUAUCAUCAAUAACUCUUAAAAAUUAUAUUAACUCAUAUCAAUGGCAUAAUCAACUAGCGAGCAAUAAUAAGAUAUCUCAAAUGCCAACACUUUUUCAAAGCAAUCAUGAUAUAAUAUGACAACAGUGGUAUCUCGCUAGACCUUUCUAAGACCGCAAAACAUAAAUGCAGAGCACCUCCAAAGUUCAAGCAGCGACUAAACAUUGUAAUUCAUGGUAGAAAAGAUCCAGUCAUGAUGCAUCCAACAUUAACUAUACACAAUGCAUGAGGAUGAAAAUAGUGCUCCCAGAUCUGGCGCUUAUUUGAGAAGGUGACGACUCAACAUAAAAUUAAAUAGAUAGUCCCUUCGCAGAGGGAAGCAGGGAUUUGUAGAGGUGCCCGAGCUCAAACUUUUAAAAACAGAGAUAAAUGAAAUUUUGGGGAUUGCACCAUUCCUGUUUACUGCACGACCAAAAGUUAUCAAUAUCUUUCAUGCUAAACACAUUAGUGGCGGUUCCCAAGUGAUAAAAUUAAAGGUUUACUCCCCCUCCACCAACAAACACACAGCAUGGCUAGCCGAAUCCACGGGUACCGUCCAUACCAACAACAAUCCUGGGGGAGUUUUGUUUAAUUAUUUGCAAUUUUUGAAUUCGGGACUGGGAAUCCCUAUUACCGCCCCUCUCGUGCAAGGACGGGUGAAUAAACACUCAUCAUGAGAAUAACCCGCUUAGCAUGGAAGAUACCGACUACCCCCGGUCGCUCUAUGAACAAUCCAGGCACACAAAACAGAUGUUUAUUUGAAGUUUUUUAGUGGUGGCACAUGCAAAUUUACUUAGGACGGCAGGGUAAUACCGCGUAUAGGUAGAUAUGGUGGACCCAUCUGGAAUAACUUGGGUUUAAAGGUUUUUGAUGCAUAAGCAGUAUUUCCGCUUACUACAGGCGAAGGCUAGCAAAUAGGUUGAGAAGCAGCCAGCUAGAGAUCGAAAACGGUCAUGAACAUGCAUUAUGAAUAAUGAACAUUGGAUACUAGCACGAGUAGGAUAUGGACACCAUGAACAUAAAUAUCAUAGAAGCUAUGUUGGUUUUGAUUCAACGAAGCCAAGUCAAGCCACUUGAAACAUUCAGAGGAGGAUACCAUAUCACAAUCAUUUUAACGCAAUGUCAACAUCCAAGAUAAAUCAUUAUCCACUCCUAGAUACUUAAGCAUGGCAUGAGAAACUAUAGUCUCUAAUUGUCAUUGCAAACAUGUUUGAUCAUAAUAUGUUGAAUCAUGGAUACUAGGUUAAAAUAUUUACAAAAACAAAACAAGUUGAGUUCAUACUCAUUUCUCUCUGCCACAGCCAGUUCAUCAAAUAUCGUCAUUAUUGCCUUUCACUUGCACGACUGAAUGAUAUGAAAAUAAUAAUAGUGCAAAAGUGCCGUGGACUAAGCUGGCAUCUGCAAAAAAUUUACUCAAAAAGGAGAAGACAAAGCAAUUUGGGCUCUUUGUUAGAUUGACAAUAAUGCGUAUGAGAGCCACUCAACAUUUUUAUCGUGGUCUUCUCCUCGGUAUGACUCAACAGAAAGGAAAAGAAAUCUAGAGAAACACACUGAAAUAUUUUUAGAGUUUUUAGCUUUUCUUUAAGAAAGCAAAUUAAAGGAAGAAAAACAAAGACGAGAAAAACUAUUUACACGGGACAACUCCCAACAAGCAAGAAGAAGAAUUGAGAAAUCUUUUGGGUUUUCUUUAAUACUACAACUAAUUAAACUAGAAAGAAAAACUGAAAAGAAGCAAGAAAUAUUUUUGGGUUUUCUCAAAGUUUUUAAAACUCACAAGAAGAAAGCGAGAGAAAUAAAUCUAGCAUGGAUAAUACAAUGAAAAAGUGUGAACACCGACAACUGGAAUAAAAUGUGUGAGCAUGAAUAAAAUCUCGGUGGAAACACGUACUCCCCCAAGCUUAGGCCUAUGCCCUAGCUUGGUAAUCACCAUCCGCUGCCUGCAUAGUAGUCGGAGUGGUAGCUCACGGAGGCUCUUGGUGCAACCACCUCAGUCCACCGAGCUGCCUCGAUCUCUACGCGCAUGCCUCGCUCUCCAGAACAAAAAAUCUUCCUCUCCUGUCAUAAUCAAAGAGAGCAGGCGCAAGCAACGCAAUAUGCACAAUGGUUUCAUUACUGAACCUCGGGUUAUAGGUAUAAUCAGUGAUUUUACCCUUAAGGAACUUAUGGCGCUUCAUUGCCUCAAAGUCUAAGUACUGAGUAGGUAAGAUGGGGUCAUAAGGAAGAGGUGUAACAGCGACCUCUUUGGCUAAACGAGAAGCAUAAAUUCCACCAUAGAAAUAACCACUACCAGCGUUAUGUUGCAACCUACGUGUAACAAUCGCUCCAAGGUUAUAACUUUUAAUUCUGGUCAAGGUAGUGUGUAUAAAGCUCAAGUCGGGAGCACAUAAUGUGAUACAAUCUUGCUUGCCCAUGAUGCAUUUGCCAUUAAAGAGUGCAAGGUAUUGAAUGGAUGGGAAAUGAAUACUUUUUAUUCUACCUUGUGUCACUCCUCUAUCCUCACGUAACAAAGACUAGUCAAGGAUGUCUCAUAUUCAGAUCUUGGUGGUUCGUCUAGCGAGCCCCAAAAUGGAAUUUUGCAGAUAUUAGAAAACAUCUCUAGAGGCAUGGUAAAAGGAUUAUCAAACAGGUUAAAUGAGAGCUUGCGUUCGUUUUUGCCUUGAAGAGGAAAGGGUGAUGCAGCAUAGUAGAGAUAAGUAUUUCCCUUAGUUAAGAACCAGGGUUAUCAAUCCAGUAGGAGAAACGCGCAAGUCCCAAUAGAUGCACCAGCACAAACAAUCAAACACUUGCACCCAACGCGAUAAAGGGGUUGUCAAUCCCUUCACAAUCACUUGCAAAGGUGAGAUCUGGUAGAGAUAGAUAAAACUAAACAAAAGAUAAAAUAUAUUUUUGGGUUUUUGGUUUUUAGAUCUGAAAAUAAAAGAUUGCAAAAUAGUAGAUCGAAAACUAAUAUGAUGGAAAAUAGACCCAGGGGCCAUAGGUUUCACUAGAGGCUUCUCUCAUGAAGGCAAAUAAUACGGUGGGUGAACAAAUUACUGUCGAGCAAUUGAUAGAAAAGCGCAAACUUAUGACGAUAUCCAAGGCAAUGAUUAUGCAUAUAGGCAUCACGUCCGUGUCAAGUAGACCGACUCCUGCCUGCAUCUACUACUAUUACUCCACACAUCAACCGCUAUCCAGCAUGCAUCUAGAGUAUUAAGUUCAUAAAGAAUGGAGUAACGCCUUAAGUAAGAUGACAUGAUGUAGAGGAAUAAACUCAAGCAAUAUGAUGAAAACCCCAUCUGUUUAUUCUCAAUGGCAACUAGUCAAUAUGUGUCUCGCUACCCAUACUUUGUCACUGGGUGAAAUCACGCAAGAUUGAACCCAAAGCUAAGCACCUCUCCCAUUGCAAGAAAAACCAAUCUAGUUGGCCAAACCAAACCGAUGAUUCGAAGAGAAAUACAAACAUAUGAAAUCAUGCAUAUAAGAAUUCAGAGAAGAUUCAAAUAAUAUUCAUAGAUAAGCUGAUCAUAAACCCACAAUUCAUCAGAUCUCGACAAACACACCGCAAAAGAAGAUUACAUCGGAUACAUAUCCAAGAACAUCAAGGAGAACAUGGUAUUGAGAAUCAAAGAGAGAGAAGAAGCCAUCUAGCUACUAGCUAUGGACCUGUAGGUCUGUGGUAAACUACUCAUGCUUCAUCGGAAGGGCAAUAGGGUUGAUGUAGAUGCCCUCCGUGAUCGAAUCCCCCUCCGGCAGGAUGCCAGAAAAGGCCCCAAGAUGGGAUCUCACGGGAACAAAAGGUUGCGAUGGUGGAAAAGUGUUUUCGUGGAUGCUUCUGAGGGUUUUGGAAUAUAUGUGAAUAUAUAGGAUGAAGAGCUAGGUCAGGGGAGUCGCGAGGGGUCCACAAGGUAGGGUGCCCCCCUUAGUGCACGCCCUCCACCCUUGCCACCGCCUCGUGGCUCUUCUGACUUGGACUCCAUGUCCCGUGAGUGUCUUCUAGUCCAAGAAAAAUUAUCGUGAAGUUUUAGCAAUUAACUUAAGCUAACUAACUCCGUUAAUUAGUAUAGACACUGACAGGCUGGCCCCAUCUGCUAAUAAACCUAAUCAGGAUUAGUUAAACCCGUUGUUAGAAUCUGUGUCACUGCGCACUGGGUCCCACUGGGCCCGGUUGACCAGUCAACCUAUUGACUGGGCUAGCCCAGUCAAUGACAGGUGGGUCCCUAUUGACCCAGGUUACCAGUCAACUGGUCAAUAGUUGACCUGCUGACUCAGCAGGCUGGCCCCACAUGUCAGCCACACACGCACAUCUAUGGGUACACUUUUUGUGUACCCAUAGCAAUUUAAUAAAUUCGAAUCAAAUUAAUUCCAGAAAUUCAAAAAUCAUUUAAAACUUUGAAAAAUCAUAUAAAUUAAUUCGUAAGUCAGACGAAAAUGAUUUACAUAUGAAAGUUGCUCAGAAAAAUGUAACAAAUCUGAAUAUGCUAUCCAAUCAUCUGUCACAUGCCUUUAGCAUGAUGAACAUGGACCCUUCCCCUCCGAUUCAUCUGUCCGAAAACAACCAAAAGCUGGGAAAACAUUCUCAGAUGUUUUCCCGCUUUCUUUGUAACGUGUAGCACGGCGUUAGGUCAACCCUAGCACAGCUUAUUGUCGUGCCAUGCUUCGUGAAUCAUUUGAUUGCUUUAUAUUUAGUGUCCCCCCCUCUUCUUCUCCGGUAGACCCCGAGGCCGAUGACGAUGCCAUGACGAUGCCAGGCAAGCAAACCCCCUUGAUCAUUCCUAUAUCGCCCAUUCCAUUCUCUCUCAUGCUUGCAUUAGAUUUUGCUAUUGUAAUUGAUUGCUCCUAUUCUAAUGCAUAGCCUGCUUUUGUAACCUGCUUUUGUACCUUACCUGCCUAUCCUAUAUGCUUAGUAUAGGUUGGUUAGUGAUCCAUCAGUGACCCCUCACCUUGUCCCUGUCGCCCCCGCUGGAUUACCAAAUGACUCGAUCAACAUGAUCGACGUCCAGAGACCGACACAUCACCUCACACCCCCUUAGUUGUACGACUAUGCAGAGCUACUAUCGAGUGCCGAGGGUGAUACCUUGUUUAGCACUUCUGAUGAGAUCUCUGUAGUGUAGCUAACCUGUCAUGAUUUACGGAGGGUGAUUCCUCCUUCACCACUCCCGAUAACGACUCUGUCGUUCAACACCUCAAGUGUGAACCCACGAGGGUGAUUGUCGGUGUCAAAACCGGCCGAUCUCGGGUAGGGGGUCCCGAACUGUGCAUGUGAGGAUUGAAGGUAACAAGGGACAAAGGGGACACGAUGUUUACCCAGGUUCGGGCCCUCUUAAUGGAGGUAAAACCCUACGUCCUGCUUGAUUAUCUUUGAUGAGUAUAGGGGUUACAAGAGUUGAUCUACCUCGAGAUCGUAAUGGCUAAACCCUAGCUGUCUAGCCUAUAUGAAUUCUGAUAGCCUCUACGGACUAAACCCUUUGGUUUAUAUACACACUGGAGGGGCCUAGGGUUGUACAGAGUCGGUUUGUAGAGGAAGGAAAUUACAUAUUCGGACACCAAUCUUGCCAUCCACGCAUAGGAGAGUCCUAUCCAGACACGGGGGGAAGGUCUUCUGCCUUGUAUCUUCAUGGCCCAUCAGUCCGGCCCAUAUCACACAGCCCGGACACCCGAGGACCCCCUAAUCCAGGACUCCCUCAGUAGCCCCUGAACCAGUCUCCAAUGACAAGAUAUUCGGCACGCGGGUUAUCUAUGACAUUGUAAGGCGGGUUCCUCCUCCUCAGUACUUCAAAGCAGUCUUCUGAACAAAAGAACUAUAUUCGGCUCUGUAUAAUAGUCACAACCCUUAGCCAUGAAGGCAAGAUACUUAAUCAAGAUAAUAUCUGUCAACUGACAACUUUUCGGCGAAACGUCACGUCUGUCCUCUUAACAUUUCGAACCGUUUUUUCACCUCCCGCUUCGUGUUUCGAGGCACAUCCUCUAUUGACAUGACUUGUCAAAACAUAGAUCAUGUCCGCUUAUCGCGGGAUCCUCAUCAAUACGGUUUUGGGUAAUCCAACCGUGCCAUUCGCACAACCCCUUGGGAACAGGCGAGUGUUAAGGCUUAAGGGUGGGCGUUUGAAAUCCAUUGCCUAUAUAAGGGGACAAAGAUCCCUCUUUUCUCCCCACGCCUUCUUCCUUCUCUUGUUUUCCCGUCCUCAAGCUCCAGCGCCAAAGCUUCAGUCUUUCCACCGCCACCAACUUCUCCAGCCAUGUCCCAAUCUGGUUCAAAGGGCAAGUGGGAGGCCUCCUCCGUCACGAAGAAGGACGUAAAGGAGCACUGGGAGGCGGGGUAUUGAUAACCCACAAGUAUAGGGGGUCGCAACAGUUUUCGAGGGUAGAGUAUUCAACCCAAAUUUAUUGAUUCGACACAAGGGGAGCCAAAGAAUAUUCUCAAGUAUUAGCAGUUGAGUUGUCAAUUCAACCACACCUGGAUAACCUAGUAUCUGCAGCAAAGUAUUUAGUAGCAAAGUAAUAUGGAAGUAACAGUAAUAGUGGCAAAAGUAAUGGUAGCUGUUUUGAAGUGAUUGUAACAGCAGCAACAGAAAAGUAACUAAGCAAAGAACAAUAUGUGAAAAGCUCGUAGGCAUUGGAUCGGUGAUGGAGAAUUAUGCCGGAUGCGAUUAUUCAUGUAACAGUUAUAACAUAGGGUGACACAGAACUAGCUCCAGUUCAUCAAUGUAAUGUAGGCAUGUAUUCCGAAUAUAGUCAUACGUGCUUAUGGAAAAGAACUUGCAUGACAUCUUUUGUCCUACCCUCCCGUGGCAGCGGGGUCCUAUUGGAAACUAAGGGAUAUUAAGGCCUCCUUUUAAUAGAGUACCGGACCAAAGCAUUAACACAUAGUGAAUACAUGAACUCCUCAAACUACGGUCAUCACCGGGAGUGGUCCCGAUUAUUGUCACUUCGGGGUUGCCGGAUCAUAAAACAUAGUAGGUGACUAAUGACUUGCAAGAUAGGAUCAAGAACUCACAUAUAUUCAUGAAAACAUAAUAGGUUCAGAUCUGAAAUCAUGGCACUCGGGCCCUAGUGACAAGCAUUAAGCAUAGCAAAGUCAUAGCAACAUCAAUCUCAGAACAUAGUGGAUACUAGGGAUCAAACCCUAACAAAACUAACUCGAUUACAUGAUAAAUCUCAUCCAACCCAUCACCGUCCAGCAAGCCUACGAUGGAAUUACUCACGCACGGCGGUGAGCAUCAUGAAAUUGGUGAUGGAGGAUGGUUGAUGAUGACGAUGGCGACGGAUUCCCCUCUCCGGAGCCCCGAAAGGACUCUAGAUCAGCCCUCCCGAGAGAGAUUAGGGCUUGGCGGCGGAUCCGUAUCAUAAAACGCGAUGAAUCCUUCUCCCUGAUUUUUUUCUCCCCGGACACGAAUAUAUAGAGUUGGAGUUGAGGUCGGUGGAGCUCCAGGGGGCCCACGAGGCAGGGGGGCGCGCCCAGGGGGGCAGGCGCGCCGCCCACCCUCGUGGACAGGGUGUGGGCUCCCUGGUCUUGAUUCUUUCACCAGUAUUUUUUAUUAUUUCCAAAAAUAAUCUCCGUGAAGUUUCAGGUCAUUCCAAGAAAUUUUAUUUCUGCACAAAAAUAACACCAUGGCAAUUCUGCUGAAAACAGCGUCAGUCCGGGUUAGUUCCAUUCAAAUCAUGCAAGUUAGAGUCCAAAACAAGGGCAAAAGUGUUUGCAAAAGUAGAUACGACGGAGACGUAUCAACUCCCCCAAGCUUAAAGCUUUGCUUGUCCUCAAGCAAUUCAGAUGAUAAACUGAAAGUGAUAAAGAAAAAAAUUUACAAACUCUGUUUGCUCUUAUUGUUGCAAAUAUGUAAAGCCAGCAUUCAAGUUUUCAACAAAGAUUAUGAACUAAUCAUAUUCACAAUAACACUUAGGUCUCACGUUUACUCAUGUCAAUGACAUAAUCAACUAGCGAGCAAUAAUAAUAAAUCUCGGAUGACAACACUUUCUCAAAACAAUCAUGAUAUGAUAUAACAAGAUGGUAUCUCGCUAGCCCUUUCUGAGACCGCAAAACAUAAAUGCACAUCCCCUUUAAAGAUCAAGGACUAACUAAACAUUGUAGUUAAUGGUAAAAGAGAUCCAGUCAUACUCAAUAUAAAUUAAUAGUAAUGGAUGCAAAUGACAGCGGUGCUCUCCAGCUGGUGCUUUUUAAUAAGAGGGUGAAGACUCAACAUAAAAGUAAAUAGAUAGGCCCUUCACAGAGGGAAGUAGGGAUUUGUAGAGAUGCCAGAGUUCGAUUUUGAAAUAGAGAUGAAUAAUAUUUUGAGCGGCAUACUUUCAUUGUCAACAUAACAACAAAGAGAUCUCGAUAUCUUCCAUGCUACUCACAUUAUAGGCGGUUCCCAAACAGAAUGGUAAAGUUUAUACUCCCCCUCCACCAACAAGCAUCAAUCCAUGGCUUGCUCGAAACAACGAGUGGCUCCAACUAACAAGAGUCCCGGGGGAGUUCUGUUUGCAAUUAUUUUGAUUUGAUUUGCAUAAAGCAUGGGACUGGGCAUCCCGGUGACCAGCCAUUUUCUCGUGAGUGAGGAGCGAAGUCCACUCCUCUUGAGAAUAACCUACCUAACAUGGAAGAUACAGACAGCCCUAGUUGAUAUAUGAGCUAUUCGAGCAUACAAAACAGAAUUUCAUUUGAAGGUUUAGAGUUUGGCACAUACAAAUUUACUUGGAACGGCAGGUAGAUACCGCAUAUAGGAAGGUAUAGUGGACUCAUAUGGAAUAACUUUGGGGUUUAAGGGAUUGGAUGCACAAGCAGUAUUCCCGCUUAGUACAAGUGAAGGCUAGAAAAAGACUGGGAAGCGACCAACUAGAGAGCGACAACAGUCAUGAACAUGCAUUAAAAUUAAUAAACAUUGAGUGCAAGCAUGAGAAGGAUAUAAUCCACCAUGAACAUAAAUAUCGUGAAGGCUAUGUUGAUUUUGUUUCAACUACAUGUGUGAACAUGUGCCAAGUCCAGUCACUUGAAUCAUUCAAAGGAGGAUACCACCCUACUAUACCACAUCACAAUCAUUUUAAUAGCAUGUUGGCACGCAAAAUAAACCAUUAUAAACUCCUAGCUGAUUAUGCAUGGCAUAAGCAACUAUAAUCUCUAAUUGUCAUUGCAAACAUGUUUAUUCAUAAUAGGCUGAAUCAGGAACGAUGAACUAAUCAUAUUUACAAAAACAAGAGAGGUCGAGUUCAUACCAGCUUCUCUCAUCUCAAUCAGUCCAUCAUAUAUCGUCAUAAUUGCCUUUCACUUGCACGACCGAACGAUGUGAAUAAUAAUAAUAGUGCAUGUGCAUUGGACUAAGAUGGAAUCUGCAGGCAUUCAAUAAACAGGAGAAGACAAGGCAAUAUGGGCUCUUGGUUAAAUCAACAAUAAUGCAUAUAAGAGCCACUUCAACAUUUUCAUUAUGGUAUUCUCCUCUCGACCUCCAAAGAAAAGAAAAGAAAUAAAACUAUUUACACGGGAAAGCUCCCAACAAGCAAAAGAAGAACGAGAAAUCUUUUUGGGUUUUCUUUUAAUUACUACUACUACAGCAUGAAAAGUAAAUUAGCUAAAAGCUACAACUAUUUUUUUUCUUAAGGUUUUUCAAACACACAAGAAGAAAGCAUAAAAAGGAAAAUAAACUAGCAUGGAUAGUACAAUGAAAAAGUAUGAGCACCGACAACUAGCAUGAGUGUGUGAAUAUGAAUGUAAUGUCGGUGAGAAAUACGUACUCCCCCAAGCUUAGGCUUUUGGCCUAAGUUGGUCUACUGCCACGGUUGGCCUGGCGGAUAUCCAAAGUUGCAGUCGGGGUCGUACUGUGAUGCAGCAGCUAUUGCCUCAUGAGCUGCCGCUUGGAGGCGAGCUGUCUCCGUCCUCCUCUUAUACUCGUUCGCCUCCUCCCUGGUAUGACAUAUCUCCCCUUUGCCGGAAAGUCAAAGAGGGUAGGAGCAGGGAGAACAAUAUUGACAGCGUGACGCCUGUCAAAGAUUAGUCGGUACUGGAGAGGUGGUUCAUUCCUCUCAACAAACUGGUGGCGAACCAUGGCAUUAAAAUCUAGACAAGCAGGAGGCAAUUCCAUAUCAUAAUCACGAAUAGGUAUCUCAAGAUAAUUAGCUAGACGGGUUGCAUAAAUUCCCCCAAACAAAUCCCCAUUUAAACUGUUAUUAUGCAACCUACGCGCCACAAUAGCUCCCGGAUUAUAAUGUUUAUCUCCUAAUGCAGCACUCCUAAGAACACUGAGAUCAGGAACACACAUGUGGCAUGCGUCAUCCUUACCGUUUAUGCAUCGGCCUAUAAAGAUAUCAAAAUAAUUUAUAGCAGGAAAAUGAAUACUCCCUAUGGUAGCUUGUGUUAUUUCUCUAGAUUCCCCCAUUGUGAUACUAGCAAGAAAAUCUCUAAACUCAGAUUUGCGAGGUUCACUAGGACUACCCCAUUGCGGGAGUUUACAAGAAGUAGUAAAAUCCUCUAGGUCCAUGGUAUAGGAUUUAUCAUAAAGAUCAAACAGGACCGUGUGAGAGUUGCGUGAUGAUGAAAAUCCAAAUCUUCUCACAAAGGAAUCAGUAAGGUAAUAGUGUUGGAGGCACUUAUCUGACACGAAGCCUUCCAAAUCAGCGUUACGCACAUAUGCCUCAAAUUCCUCCAUAAUUCCGGCUCGGACCAUGAAGUUUUCUGACGGCCAUUCACAAGGCCGCACUUGAGCUUCUCUUGGUGGUUCAUCGUCCGCAUCGCGGCGGCCCUGGGUCCUUGCUUCCUUGAAGAACCACCUUGGUACAUUUUCCUAAACAUAUUUCUUCCUCUGAAAAAUUUCUGAAAAUUUUAGUAGCUCAAAAUAAAAGUGAACCAAACUCAACAAAAUUAAUAGUAACUACUCCCACAAGUGCCUAGAGACUAUAUCAUGCAUUAGAACUACUUGGCACCAUAUAAAUUUGACAUGCAAGCUCAAGAACAGGGUCACCUAGGCAGCAAAAAUUUGCAAUGAAUAAAGCACUAGAACAAAAACUAAUUGGACCAUUGGAGGAGUCACAUAAUGAAGAAUAAUCCCCCAAAGCAGUUUUGUGAGUGGAGCUUUGAGCUAGGAGAUCUAAAAUCGCAGCAAAAUGAGCUAGAACUCGUGCUUGAGCUGGUAGGUGAUUUUUUGGGAGGAAGAAGGAGUGUGUGGUGGCUGGAAUAAGUGGAGGGGAGCCACCAUGGGCCCAUGAGGCAGGGGGCGCGCCUGGGGGGUGGGCGCGCCCUGGACCCUCGUGGCCAGGUGCUUGCUCCCCCUGAUGUGUUCUCAGUGCCAGAUAUUCUCAAAUAUUCCAGAAAAAUCAUAUUUCAAUUUCGGGGCAUUUGGAGAACUUUUAUUUUUGGGGUAUUUUUUAUUUCACAGAUAAUUCAGAAAACUGACAGAAAAAUACUAUUUUUGCUUUAUUUAAUCUAAAUAACAGGAAGUAAAUGGAGGGUACAGAAGGUUGUGCCUUCUAACUUCAUCCAUCUCAUGCUCAUCAAAAGGAAUCCACUAACAAGGUUGAUCAGGUCUUGUUAACAAACUCAUUUUGAAUAACAUGAAACCGGAGAAAUUUCGAAUAACACGAUGUUACCUCAACGGGGAUAUGCACAUACCCAACGAUAAGAAUAUCAUAUCUCUUCUUGACAGUAGGAAGAGGAAAUUCAAAACCUCCAAUAGUAAUAGUUGAAAUUUUUCCAAUAGAAUUGAUACUGUGGACUUGAGGUUGUUUCCUCGGAAAGUGUACCGUAUGCUCAUUACCAUUAACAUGAAAAGUGACAUUGCCUUUGUUGCAAUCAAUAACAGCCCCUGCAGUAUUCAAAAAGGGUAUUCCCAGAAUAAUAGACGUACUAUCGUCCUCGGGAAUAUCAAGAAUAACAAAGUCCGUUAAAAUAGUAACGUUUGCAACCACAACAGGCACAUCCUCACAAAUACCGACAGGUGUAGCAGUUGAUUUAUCAGCCAUUUGCAAAGAUAUUUCAGUAGGUGUCAACUUAUUCAAAUCAAAUCUACGAUAUAAAGAGAGAGGCAUAACACUAACACCGGCUCCAAGAUCACAUAAAGCAGUUCUAACAUAGUUUCUUUUAAUGGAGCAUGGUAUAGUUGGUACUCCUAGAUCUCCAAGUUUCUUUGGUAUUCCACCCUUAAAAGUAUAAUUAGCAAGCAUGGUGGAAAUUUCAGCUUCCGGUAUCUUUCUUUUAUUUGUAAAAAUAUCCUUCAUAUACUUAGCAUAAGGAUUCAUUUUAAGCAUAUCAGUCAAACGCAUACGCAAGAAGAUAGGUCUAAUCAUUUCAGCAAAGCGCUCAAAAUCCUCAUCAUCCUUUUACUUGGAUGGUUUGGGAGGAAAAGGCAUGGGUUUCUGAACCCAUGGUUCCCUUUCUUUACCGUGCUUCCUAGCAACAAAGUCUCUCUUAUCAUAACGUUGAUUCUUUGAUUGUGGGUUAUCAAGAUCAACAGCAGGUUCAAUUUCUACAUCAUUAUUAUUGCUAGGUUGAGCAUCAACAUAAACAUCAUCAUUAACAUUAUCACUAGGUUCAUGUUCAUUACCAGAUUGUGUUUCAGCAUCAGAGAUAGAAAUAUCAUUGGGAUUCUCAGGUGUGUCAACAACAGGUUCACUAGAAGCAUGUAAAGUCCUAUCAUUAUUCUUUUUCUUCCUUUAGAAGGACUAGGUGCAUCAACAUUAGUUCUAUGAGAAUCUUGCUCAAUUCUUUUAGGGUGGCCCUCAGGAUACAAAGGUUCCUGAGUCAUUUUACCCCCUCUAGUCACAACUCUAAUAGCAUUAUCAUCUUUCUUAUUAUUUGAUUCAAUGAGCAAGUCAUUCUGAGCUUUAAGCACUUGUUCUACUUGAGUGGUAACCAUAGAAGCAUGUUUACUAAUAAGUUUAAGUUCACCUUUAGCUCUAGACAUAUAAUCACUCAAGUGUUCAAUCAUAUAAGCAUUACGUUUCAAUUGUCUACCAAAAUAAGCGUUAAAAUCUUCUUGCUUAACCAUAAAAUUAUCAAACUAAUCUAAGCAUUGGCUAGCAAACUUAGUAGGCGGGAUUUCAGCUUUAUCAUAUCUAUAGAGAGAAUUUACCUUUACUACCUGUGUCGGGUUAUCAAGACCAUGUUUUUCUUCAAUAGGUGAUGAAUUAAGACCAUGUAUUUCUUCAACAGGAGGUAAAUUCUUAACAUCUUCAGCUUUAAUACCUUUUUCUUUCAUAGAUUUCUUUGCCUCUUGCAUAUCUUCAGGACUGAGAAAUAGAAUACCCCUUUUCUUCGGAGUUGGCUUAGGAGUUGGUUCAGGAAGUGUCCAGUUAUUUUCAUUAGUCAACAUAUUAUUCAAUAGAAUUUCAGCUUCAUCAAUAGUUCUUUCCCUGAAAACACAACCAGCACAACUAUCCAGGUGGUCUCUGGAAGCAUCGGCUAGUCCAUUAUAAAAGAUAUCAAGUAUUUCAUUUUUCUUGAGAGGAUGAUCAGGCAAAGCAUUAAGUAAUUGGAGAAGCCUCCCCCAAGCUUGUGGGAGACUCUCUUCUUCAAUUUGCACGAAAUUAUAUAUUUCCCUUAAAUCAGCUUGUUUCUUAUGAACAGGGAAAUAUUUAGCAGAGAAGUAAUAAAUCAUAUCCUGGGGACUACGCACACAACCAGGAUCAAGAGAAUUAAACCAUGUUUUAGCAUCACCCUUUAAUGAGAACGGAAAUAAUUUAAGGAUAUAAUAGUAGCGAGUUUUCUCAUCAUUAGUGAACAGGGUAGCUAUAUCAUUUAAUUUAGUAAGAUGUGCCACAACAGUUUCAGAUUCAUAGCCAUAAAAAGGAUCAGAUUCAACCAAAGUAAUUAUCUCAGGAUCAACAGAGAAAUCAUAAUCCUUAUCAUUAACAAAGAUAGGUGAAGUAGCAUAAGCAGGGUCAUAUUUCAUUCUAGCAUUCAAAGAUUUUUCUUUGAGCUUUACUAAUAAUUUCUUAAGAUCACUUCUAUCAUUGCAAGCAAGAAAGUCUCUAGCAGUUUCUUCAUCCAUAACAUAACCCUCAGGCACAACAGGUAAUUCAUAUCUAGGGGAAGAAUCUUCAUCAUCACUUUCAUCAAUAUUAUCAGUUUCAAUAAUUUCAUUCUCUCUAGCCCUAGCAAGUUGUUCAUCAAAAAAUUCACCUAGUGGCACAGUAGUAUCAAGCAUAGAAGUAGUUUCAUCAUAAGUAUCAUGCAUAGCAGAAGUGGCAUCAUCAAUAACAUGCGACAUAUCAGAAUUCAUAGUAGAAGCAGGUUUAUAGGUGUCGCAAGCUUACUCAAAACAGAAGGUGAAUCAAGUGCAGAGCUAGAUGGCAGUUCCUUACCUCCCCUCGUAGUUGAGGGAUAGAUCUUGGUUUUUUCGUCUUUCAAGUUCCUCAUAGUGACCAGUAGAUAUAAAUCCCAAGUGACUCAAAGAAUAGAGCUAUGCUCCCCGACAACGGCGCCAGAAAAUAGUCUUGAUAACCCACAAGUAUAGGGGAUCGCAACAGUUUUCGAGGGUAGAGUAUUCAACCCAAAUUUAUUGAUUCGACACAAGGGGAGCCAAAGAAUAUUCUCAAGUAUUAGCAGUUGAGUUGUCAAUUCAACCACACCUGGAUAACUUAGUAUCUGCAGCAAAGUAUUUAGUAGCAAAGUAAUAUGGAAGUAACGGUAACAGUGGCAAAAGUAACGGUAGCAGUUUUGUAGUGAUUGUAACAGCAGCAACGGAAAAGUAACUAAGCAAAGAACAAUAUGUGAAAAGCUCGUAGGCAUUGGAUCGGUGAUGGAGAAUUAUGCCGGAUGUGAUUAUUCAUGUAACAGUUAUAACAUAGGGUGACACAGAACUAGCUCCAGUUCAUCAAUGUAAUGUAGGCAUGUAUUCCGAAUAUAGUCAUACGUGCUUAUGGAAAAGAACUUGCAUGACAUCUUUUGUCCUACCCUCCCGUGGCAGCGGGGUCCUAUUGGAAACUAAGGGAUAUUAAGGCCUCCUUUUAAUAGAGUACCGGACCAAAGCAUUAACACAUAGUGAAUACAUGAACUCCUCAAACUACGGUCAUCACCGGGAGUGGUCCCGAUUAUUGUCACUUCGGGGUUGCCGGAUCAUAACACAUAGUAGGUGACUAAUGACUUGCAAGAUAGGAUCAAGAAUUCACAUAUAUUCAUGAAAACAUAAUAGGUUCAUAUCUGAAAUCAUGGCACUCGGGCCCUAGUGACAAGCAUUAAGCAUAGCAAAGUCAUAGCAACAUCAAUCUCUGAACAUAGUGGAAUACUAGGGAUCAAACCCUAACAAAACUAACUCGAUUACAUGAUAAAUCUCAUCCAACCCAUCACCGUCCAGCAAGCCUAUGAUGGAAUUACUCACGCACGGCGGUGAGCAUCAUGAAAUUGGUGAUGGAGGAUGGUUGAUGAUGACGAUGGCGACGGAUUCCCCUCUCCGGAGCCCCGAACGGACUCCAGAUCAGCCCUCCCGAGAGAGAUUAGGGCUUGGCGGCGGCUUCGUAUCGUAAAACAUGAUGAAUCCUUCUCCCUGAUUUUUUUCUCCCCGAACACCGAAUAUAUAGAGUUGGAGUUGAGGUCGGUGGAGCUCCAGGGGGCCCACGAGGCAGGGGGCGUGCCCCCACCCUCGUGGACAGGGUGUGGGCCCCCUGGUCUUGAUUAUUUCGCCAGUAUUUUUUAUUAUUUCCAAAAAUAAUCUCCGUGAAGUUUCAGGUCAUUCCGAGAACUUUUAUUUCCGCACAAAAAUAACACCAUGGCAAUUCUGCUGAAAACAGCGUCAGUCCGGGUUAGUUCCAUUCAAAUCAUGCAAUUUAGAGUCCAAAACAAGGGCAAAAGUGUUUGGAAAAGUAGAUACGGUGGAGACGUAUCAGGUAUCUGUCUGCGGACAUCGCGCACAGGCUUCCUGUUAAGGACCAAUUCAUCCCCACUCCAGAGCCCGGCGAAAGUGUUGUAUUCAUCCCUCACUUCCUCCGCGGGCUAGGGUUUCCCCUCCACCCCUUCGUCCGAGGCCUCAUGUUACUAUGGCAUAUAGAUUUCCAUGAUCUAGCCCAAAAUUCUUUCCUCCACAUAUCGGCGUUCAUCGCCGUGUGUGAGGCGCUACUCCGCAUCCCCCCACACUUCGGCCUAUGGCUAAAAGUCUUCAAUGUGAAGCCGAAGGUGGCCGACGGGCAGCAUGUGGACUGCGGCGGUGCCAUGGUGAGCAAGAUCCCCAACGCCGUUUGGCCUAAGGGGGCCUUCAUGGAGACUAUCAAGGUGUGGUAGCAGGAGUGGUUCUACAUCACCGAACCACGCGACGCCAACUGGGCGGCCACCCCUGAGUUCAGAUCUGGACCCCCUAUGCGGCUCACCUCCUGGACCACCAAGGGCCUGGAAUGGGGAUCCAUGGUGGAAGUGUCGAUGCUGCAAAAGCGCAUCACAAACAUGAUAGGCAAGAACACCAGUCUCACUAACAUGAUUCAGGUGAUACUCUUCCGCCGGAUCCUUCCCUGCCAACUCUGGCCCUCCCACAUGUGGGAGUUCAAUCCGGAAGAUCCGCGGACCUUGAAGCUCGGCACAACGCAUGAAGACAUCUGGAAGCUGCUCUUCAAGGCCCAGAAAACGUGGCCGAAGAAGACCGAAGACAUCGGUCUUGACAGCGAGAAUCCGGCCACACCGGUAAGUGUGUUAUUCCCAAAUAUAUAUUUGAUCAAUAAGUUUUUAGGCAUAAUGAGUUUCCGUCCCUUGUACAGGGCUGGAUUGCAAAGGCGGAGUGGAUCAAGUGUCCGGCCCCGCUACCUGAAGACCCGGCCGAACCCCAGCUGACGAAGAUGCUGGUCCCAGCGCCCUAUCAGGCGCCGGAGGAGAAGGGCAAGAAGAAGAAGGGCAAGGAGGACAAGGGCGACCUCCGCUGCAAGGGUCCUUCGGACGCAGUGUCCGGAGAGACCGAAAGCCCCUCCUCCCAUGAGGGAGAUGAAGACGACGAGGGGGAGGAGGUGGAAAGCGACUCCCCUCUUAAGGGGAGGAAGAAGAAGAGGGCAGCCUCCACAGACCCGGAGGAGGAGGCGCCCAAGAGGGGGAAGAUUGCCCUCUUGGAUGGUUCGGAUUCGGAAGCCGAACCCAUCCCCAAGAGGCUUCCCAGGGUGAAGCCCUUGGCCGAAUCGUAAGCAUCAAAGGAUUUAUUACAUGUAUUCGGUCCUCUAUGUUUUUAAUAUAACAUAUUAUACUAUGUGUAUUUCAGCCCCACUCACGACCUCCCCAACCCUUCACUAUCUGAGGGGAGUUCUCUGCCGCCCAAGAUGGUAGAGAGCGAGACGCCUCCGCGAGCCUCUCCGCCAAUCAUCACAGACGACACCGAGGUGUUGUCCCGAAGGACCUCCCUAGGCCACAGAGGAGUGAGCGAGGCGGCCGAAACGGCGCCCGAGGGUAAUACCUCGGUUGCCAAAGACAUGGGGGGUGCGAUCCCCAUGGCGACCGACGGUGGGGGCCCUGAUCAGUCCGGCCCCCAGCCGGACAUCGUUCCGGAGACCCAUACGGCUCCGGAAUCGGGCGAGCAUUCUCCUUUGAAGGAGGGGGAGCAUCAGCUCUAACGGUGACCUCCACUAAUCCGGAGGCGCCGAAUGCUCUGAUGGAAGCACUACGACGUGCCUCCAUCAUGGAGGAGCACCGAACCCUGAUGGGUGUGGUAGUUGAGAAGGUUCAAUCCGCCAAGAGCGGCUGAACGAAGCCUUCACCAGCCUACUAACAGGCUUCGAGGUAUGUAACGUAAUGCUCUAGACGCUUUUCAUAUGAAGCAAAUAUACCUGUAUAUAGAUAGUAGCCCCUGAGACUCUGUUCGGUUUUGAAAUAGCCGAAGGGAUCACAUAGUAUUCGAAAGAGGUGACAUACUUUUCUAUGUUAUAACAGGAUUCCCUAUUGGCGGCAACCGCCCAGGCCGCUGAAGUUUCCGAACUCAAUCAGAAACUAAAGCUGGCUGAUGAUGAGAUGCCAUAAUAAGCAAAGGCGCCGAUGCUCCAUGGCCAAAGGUUUCCUUCCCGAAGAUGUCCAACUUAUGGCAGCGGGAGUGGUUUUACAUCACAGCUCCCCGAAGUACUAAGUGGGUAGCUGCCCCGUCUUUUGUUCGGGCCCCCCGCCACAACUGGCGUCAUGGGUCAACAAGGGGCUGGACUGGGGGCCAGUUAAUGACGUGCCGACAUUGCAGAGUCGUAUCCGAGAUCUCCUCAAGAGAGAUGUCAGCCUUGUCAAGGUAAUACAAGUCAUGCUAGUUCGUCGGGUCCUGCCAUGCCAACGUCGACCUCUCCGUAUGUGGGAGUUCAACCCGGAAGGACCGCGAACUAUUCAACAAUUCUUUGGCGUGACGCUCGAAGAGAUGUAUGGAUUGUUCUUCAUAUCACGAAUAAAGUGUCCGGACACCACCGAGGAUGCGGGCCUGAACUGCAAUCGUCCAGAUACCCACGUAAGUAAUUCUGCGGCCGAAAAUGUUGUCUUUUUAUUCAUCACAACAUCAUUCUGAAAAAUCGCUCUUUGACCAGGACUGGAUAAAAAAGGCGUAGAUGAUCAGGUGUUCGGCCCCCCUUCCCGAAGGCUCACGGGAUCCUGUAAUAGCUAGGAUGCUUGAGCAUGCACCUUAUCAAGUGCCAUCAGAGGAAGAUAAAGGGAGGAAUAAAGAAGCCGAAAGCGGGCCUCACGCAUUACUCAUCCAAACCUGGGGGAUUAGUGUCUCCGCGAAGGAGGAUAACCGGGGAGAAGAAUCUAAAAUUCCCUCUCCCCAAGGAAGGAAGAGGACCGCCUCUGAAGACUUGGAAACGAGGGUUUCCAAACGAGGGAAGAAACCUUCGCCAGGGGGCCCUGCCCCGGAGGGCAUCCUUACCGCACAGUGCCCGCAAGGGGAUCAGCCCUCCACCGAGCUGUAAGUGAACAAGAGUACUUUUGGUAAAUAUAUCCUACUUCAUCUCCGAGGACAAUAACUGAGACGUAUGUCUUGCAGUUCGGAUCAUAGCCCUUCUCGACAGAGUUCGUCUUCGGGGGAUCUUCUUCCGGAGAUGAUGGAGAGCGAAACGCCUCCCCCCAUCUCCUCGCCUCAUGAGGCGGACGACCCUGAGGUGUCGUCACAGAGGAUUUCUCCUGAUCCUCCAAGGCCGGAAGGUAACCCUUAGGCCACCCGAAGUCCGGAGUAUUCGGCUCCUAAGGAGAGCAACAGAAAGAGUCCGGGACUGUCCGGUGCACGACCGGACGCACUGAUGGGUCUUCUGGAGCAAGCGGCUAUCUCAAAGGCGCAUCGUACUUUAAUGGGUACGGUGGUUGAAAGGAUUUCAUCCGCCAAAAGUGGGUUGCAUGAAGCUUUUAUGAGCCUGCUAAAAGGCUUUGAGGUACGCAAAGUAAUAUAUAUAUAUAUAUAUAUAUAUAUAUAUAUAUAUAUAUAUUACGGUACCGCACACGCUAGGUGUGCCCUAUACAGAUAGUAGCCUCUGAGACUCUGGUUGCUGUCCAAAGGCGGCAAAUAGAGGAUCAUAGUCCUAGGUAAUGAUCAUCUUGCUUUCAUGUGCAGGCGGCUGAGGGUCCGGUGGCUGGCCGGACUGGUGAGUUUGCCGAACUGAGGCGGCAACUUGAUGCGGUAGAUGCCGACAUCGUGCUUAUAAACAAGUGGCUUGACGAGGCACAAGGUAUGUAUUCUCAAGUGGUCAACAGAUAUUAAGAGGAGCAUGAUGCUAGUAUCUGUCAUAUGCUGUGAUUGCAGAUGGAGCUGCUGCCGUGGAGAUCCUUCGGGCGGAACUUGCCCGAGCCAAGGAACAAGCCAGGAGAAGUGAUGCGGCCGCCCUAAAGGCGGCCAAAGAGUUAAGAGCCGAACAGGCUGCUCGUCGCCAGAGCAAAGAUAAAAUAGCCAAGAUGGCUGUUGAGCUAAAGGAUGCCACCGACCGGUAUGAGCUUCUUGAAAAGGAAAGCCAAGCGAAGGCGGCGGACCUGAAGAAAGCCAUGGUAGCCGCCAAGGAAACCCGUUCUAAAAUCAGAGCAGCGAAGGAGGAGCUUCGUCAAGCCGGAGAUAUCACGGUUGGGAAGCCCUUUUUGUUACGGACGAAGUUUGGAGAUCCGAAGUAUGCCCCUCUGGAUCAAUUAUGGAGUGCUGCAGACGCGUACUUGGACUUGGCAACGAGUGCUGCUGAUGCGACUGUUUUUUCAAAGAUCAAAAAGAUCACGAAGUGGAAAAGUUCUUCUAGUCGCAGUUCAGUGCUCCAACGCGUCCGCUGCUAUUAAAUGAGCAAAUGGCUGAGUGGGCUGAGCUCCAUAGGUUGUCCGGGCUUGCCAUGAGGUCUAUCGUGGAUCAUCUUUGGCCGGAAGGGCCAAGGCCGAAUAGUUAUUUUGGUUUAGUGCAACUAUACCUUGGUGCUGUGCCGCAUAUCGACGCUGCAAAGAGGUCGGCAUGCAUAGAGGGUGCGCGGAUGGCUCUUGCCCGUGUUAAGACAUACUGGGCAGAGAUGGAUGCCACCGCUAUUGCAACCCGGGGUCCGGCCGUAGGCCACGUCUCGGCUGAGCACUAUUUUGAAGAAGUCCUAGAAGGCGCUCAUUUAAUAGAGGCUCAGUGCUCGAAGAGUAUCAUGUUCGAGUGACAUGCAUCCCAAUUGUAAAAACAAUGUUAUUUGGAUUAUAAAGGUUGUGUUUAUACUUUUGCCUGAAAGUAUUAUGAUGCCUCCUGUGCGGCCGUUUAUGUAUGUAUAUAACCUGAAAGUUUGCAGUCGUCGGCUUCAGCCCCCACGCAUAUAAUGCGGGGGUGUUCGGAAAAGCGCGUAUUCACACUUGAUCCAACGUCUUGGUCCAUUAAGGAGGUGAUGGCGCGGCGAACAAGGCAAUCGGACUAUAUAGCCUUAACACUUUCACUUAGCCAUAGGAGUUUGACGGUGGGGCUACUAUAUAGCCCCUGGUACUUCCGCGCUCCUCCGAAGACGGGGCGCGUACAUACAUGGCCGGGAAACCGGCCCUUCGUUAAUGCGGAGGAAUCGCGAAGAUUCCCCUGAGUCGUCGAGUGGUUGACCAGUCUCGCGCUUUAUCAUGACAGUCAAUUUUCGGCUUUCUCUACUGAGGUGCUCGUCCAGAUGAACCAAGGCACAAUCGCAGUAGUUCUCCUGGUGCCACCUUAGCCGAUAGAGCGGAACGUAAGGUAGCAAAACACGGGAGCCGGGCAAACCCAACUAUUGACCAAAGACAUGAUUCGGAGCUGAUGCAUAUACGGUUGCUUCUCUCCCUCUUUUCCCCCUUUCCUUUCUACCUGGUUGUCGCAACCAGAUGCUGGAGUCCAGGAGCCAGACGCCACCGUCGACGACGACACCUACGGCACUAGAGGUGCCUACUACUACGUGCAGCCCGCUGACGACGACCAGGAGUAGUUAGGAGGAUCCCAGGCAGGAGGCUUGCACCUCGUUCGAUCUGCAUCCCAGUUUGUGCUAGCCUUUUUAAGGCAAGCUUGUUUAACUUAUGUCUGUACUUAGAUGUUGUUGCUUCCGCUGCCUCGUCUAUGAUCGAGCACUUGUAUUCGAGCCCUCGAGGCCCCUGGCUUGUAUUAUGAUGCUUGUAUGACUUAUUUAUGUUUUAGAGUUGUGUUGUGAUAUCUUCCCGUGAGUCCCUGAUCUUGAUCGUACACAUUUGCGUGCAUGAUUAGUGUACGCUCAAAUCGGAGGCGUCACACCUAGCAUAUUUAGCUUAGAGCUUGCUUGUCAUAUAGGUUGUGUUCACCUAGUUGCAUAUCUAGUGAACCCUUUUUAUCCGCUAAGCCUUAAAAUUGACAAGAAAGAGUAAAAUUUGUAGUCUCCUAUUCACCCCCCCUCUAGUCGACCGUAUCGAUCCUUUCACCAACUCUCAAGGUGAAGAAGGGCAAUGCACGGUACCGUAGAGGCUAGCAAAUUGCGGAAAGGUAAGAGUGUGUAUGAUCCACGGACUCACAUUAGUCAUAAAGAACUCAUAUACUUAUUGCAAAAGUUUAUUAGCCCUCGAAGCAAAGUACUACUACGCAUGCCCCUAGAGGGAUAGAUUGGUAGGAAAAGACCAUCCCUCGUCCCCAACCGCCACUCAUAAGGAAAGCACUCAAAGAACACCCCAUGCUUCAAAUUUGUCACACGACGUUUACCAUACGUGCAUGCUAUGGGACUUGCCAACUUUAACACAAGUAUUUCUCAAUUUCACAAUUACCCAACUAGCAUGACUCUAAAAUUACCAUCUUUAUAUCUCAAAACCAUUAUCAAGUAUCAAAUUUAUCAUAGUAUUUAAUGCACUCUAUAUGAAAGUUUUUAUCAUACCCAUCUUGAAUGCCUAUCAUAUUAGGACUAAUUUUAUAGCCAAAGCAAAUUACCAUGCUGUUCUAAAAGACUCUCAAAAUAAUAUAAGUGAAGCAUGAGAGAUCAAUAAUUUCUAUAAAAUAAAACCACCACCAUGCUCUAAAAAUAUAAGUGAAGCACUAGGGCAAAAUUAUCUAGCUCAAAAGAUAUAAGUGAAGCACAUAGAGAAUUCUAAUAAAUUCCGAUUCAUGUGUGUCUCUCUCAAAAGGUGUGUACAGCAAGGAUGAUUGUGGUAAACUAAAAAUCAAAUACUCAAAUCAUACAAGACGCUCCAAGCAAAACACAUAUCAUGUGGUGAAUAAAAAUAUAGCCUCAAGUAAAGUUACCGAUAGACGAAGACGAAAGAGGGGAUGCCUUCCGGGGAAUCCCCAAGCUUAGGCUUUUGUUUGUCCUUGAAUUUUACCUUGGGGUGCCUUGGGCAUACCCAAGAUUAGGCUCUUGCCACUCCUUAUUCCAUAAUCCAUCAAAUCUUUACCCAAAAACUUGAAAACUUCACAACACAAAACUCAACAGAAAAUCUCAUGAGCUCAGUUAGUAUAAGAAAACAAACCACCUCCUUAAGGUACUGUAAUGAACUCAUUCUUUAUUUAUAUUGAUGUUAAACCUACUGUAUUACAACUUCUCUAUGGUUCAUACCCCCCGAUACUAGCCAUAGAUUCAUCAAAAUAAGCAAACAACAGACGAAAAACAGAAUCUGUCAAAAACAGAAAAGUCUGUAGCAAUCUGAUUUGUUCGAAUACUUAUGGACCUCCAAAAAUUCUGAAAAACUAGGACAACCUGGAUAAUUUGUAUAUUGAUCUACUGCAAAAAGAAUUGGCAAUUUAUCACGUUCUGGUGAAUUUUAACAAUUAUUUUCGUGAGCGCAAAGUUUCUGUCUUUUUCAGCAAGAUCAAACAACUAUCACCCAAGAAGAUCCUAUUGGUUCUACUUGGCACAAACACUAAUUAAAACAUAAAAACACAUCUAAACAGAAGCUAGAUGAAUUAUUUAUUACUAAACAGGAACAAAAAGCAAGGAACAAAAAUAAAAUUGGGUUGCCUCCCAACAAGCGCUAUCGUUUAACGCCCCUAGCUAGGCAUGGAUAAUUUCGAUGAUGCUCACAUAAAAGACAAGAGUUAUAGCACAAAGAGAGCAUCAUAAAACUCAUGACAAACACAUCUAAGUCUAACAUACUUCCUAUUCGUAAGCAUUUUAUAAGCAAACAAAUUAUCAAGACAAGCAAAAACUAGCUUAUGCAAGGAAGAAGAAAGAAACAAUAGCAAUCUCAACAUAACGAGAGGUAAAUUAGUAACAUGAAAAUUUCUACAACCAUAUUUGCCUCUCUCAUAAUAAUUACAUGUGGGAUCAUAAGAAAAUUCAACAAUAUAGCUAUCACAAAACAUAUUCUUAACACAAUCCACAUGUAUGCAAAGUUGACACUCUUCCAAAAUAGUGGGAUUAACAUUAACUAAAGUCAUGACCUCUCCAAACCCACUUUUAUCAAAAACUUCAUAAGAUUGAACAUUCUCCAAAUAUGUGGGAUCUAAAGUUGACACUCUUCAAAGCCCACUUUCAAUAUUAUUGCAAACAUUAUUAUUAAUCUCAUAUUCAUCAUGAGGCUUGAAUAAAUUUUCAAGAUCAAAAGAAGAAUCACCCCAAUCAUGAUCAUUUCAACAAAUAGUAGUCAUAGCAAAACUAGCAUCCCCAAGCUUGAGGUUUUGCAUAUCAUUAACACAUUUGACAUCAAUAGAAUUUAUAAUAACAUCAUUGCAAUCAUGCUUUUCAUCAAAGGAACUAUCAAGUAUGGGCGCAAUAGCAACGAUCUCAUGUUUAACAUAAGGAACUAUAGCAAAUUCAUCUUCAUAAAUAUUGGCAUCAUGGCCACAAGAAUAGAAAGCAUCAUGUUCAUCAAGGGAUAUUUCAAUCAAAUCAUCGGAAUCAUCAUUAUCCGUAGAUUCAUGCAUAUCAUUAUUUUCAUCCAAAGCAACGGUCAUUCUCUCAAUAAAUUCUUUGACAUAGACAUUAUGAGCAUAGUUUUCAUAGCAAUAUUUAAGUAUGUCAAAAUUUUCAGAUUCGUAGAGAGUAAUAUCAUUUUUCAAUCAAAGAAGCAACUUCAUAAGCACCCUUAAAAGCAACAAAUUCUUCAAUUUGUUCGAUGUCGUAGUGACUAUAAACACCCUUUGCAUAAGAAGAUAAGAUUUCAUUAUCAUUAAACUCACAUAGGUAGGGGAGGUGUUUUUUAGGGUUCUUAGAGCAACAAGUAAAAUCAUAAAUUUCACAAAGAUUCCAAGCAUAACACAACAAUCUGUUUAUUUGAUCCCAUAAGAGUCUCCCUUUUUCAGACAAACGGUGACACACAAAAUGAGCAUGCUCAUCUAAAGAUUUCCCAUCAACUAGGCUAGUUGGGGUUUCAGCACGAGCGCAUAAGGAUCGAAGAUGAUCCAAGUAGAACACUUUAAGUGGAUCCAUAUCAAUAGAUUUUUAGCAAGCAAAGAUGCAAGCAAAUAGAAGGCACAUGGAAACACAAACAAAGAUACCUACGGGAAGAAGGCGAAGAAAAGGCAAAGGUGAAGUGGGGGAGAGGAAAACGAGAGGCAAAUGGCAAAUACUGUAAUGCGAGGGAUAAGAGUUUGUGAUGGGUACUUGGCAUGUCUUGACUUGUGCAUAGAUCUCCCCGGCAACGGUGCCAGAAAUCCUUCUUGCUACCUCUUGAGCAUGCGUUGGUUUUCCCUUGAAGAGGAAAGGGUGAUGCAGCAAAGAAGCAUAAGUAUUUCUCUCAGUUUUCGAGAACCAAGGUAUCAAUCCAGUAGGAGACUACACGCAAGUCCCUCGUACCUGCACAAACAAAUAAGAACCUUGCAACCAACGCGAUAAAGGGGUUGUCAAUCCCUUCACGGCCACUUGCAAAAGCGAGAUCUGAUAAAGAUAAUAAGAUAAAUAUUUUUGGUAUUUUUGUGGUAUAGAUAAAGAUUGCAAGAUAAAUAGUAAACUAGAAUUGUAGAUUGAAAACUUAUAUGAUGUAAAGUAGACCCGGGGGCCAUAGGUUUCACUAGUGGCUUCUCUCAAGAUAGCAUGUAAUACGGUGGGUGAACAAAUUACUCCUGAGCAAUUGAUAGAAUAGUGCAUAGUUAUGAUGAUAUCUAAGGCAAUGAUCAUGAAUAUAGGCAUCACGUCCGUGUCAAGUAGACCGAAAAGAUUUUGCAUCUACUACUAUUACUCCACACAUCGACCGCUAUCCAACAUGCAUCAAGAGUAUUAAGUUCAUAAGAACGGAGUAACGCAUUAGGCAAGAUGACAUGAUGUAGAGGGAUAAACUCAAGCAAUAUGAUAUGAACCCCAUAUUUUUAUCCUCGAUGGCAACAAUACAAUACGUGCCUUGCUGCCGUUGUUGUCACUGGGAAAGGACACCGCAAGAUUGAACCCAAAGCUAAGAACUUCUCCCAUUGCAAGAAAGAUCAAUCUAGUAGGCCAAACUAAACUGAUAAUUCGAAGAGACUUGCAAAGAUAUCAAAUCAUGCAUAUAAGAAUUCAGAGAAGAAUCAAAUCAUAUUCGUAGAUAAUCAAGUUCAUAAACCCACAAUUCAUCGGAUCUCGGCAAACACACCGCAAAAAGAGUUACAUCGAAUAGAUCUCCAAGAGAAUCGAGGAGAACUUUGUAUUGAGAUCCAAAAAGAGAGAAGAAGCCAUCUAGCUAAUAACUAUGGACCUGAAGGUCUGUGGUAAACUACUCACGCAUCAUCGGAGAGGCCAUGGUGUUGAUGUAGAAGCCCUCCAUGAUCGAUUUCCCCUCCGGCAGAGCGCCGGAAAAGGCCCCAAGAUGGGAUCUCACGGGUACACAAGGCUGCGGCGGUGGAAAUAGGGUUUCGUGGUGCUCUUGGAUGUUUUCAGGGUAUAUGAGUACAUAUAGGCGAAAGAAGUAGGUCGGUGGAGCCACGAGGGGCCCACGAGGGAGGGGACGCGCCUACCCCCCUGUGCGCGCCCUCCUACCUCGUGGCCGCCUCGUUUCUUCCUUGACGUCCACUCCAAGUCUCCUGGAUUGCGUUUGUUCCAAAAACGAUCCUCGCGAAGGUUUCAUUCCAUUUGGAUUCCGUUUGAUAUUUCUUUUCUGUGAAACACUGAAAUAGGCAAAAAAACAGCAAUUUGCACUGGGCUUUUGGUUAAUAGGUUAGUCCCAAAAAUAAUAUAAAAGUGCAUAAUAAAGCCCAUUAAACAUCCAAAACAGAUAAUAUAAUAGCAUGGAACAAUAAAAAAUUAUAGAUACGUUGGAGACGUAUCAACUGCAUCCGUGCGUGGCCAUGGCGCACGCAAGCACAGAAACGUCGUGACACCGGAUGGCAUGCGAGGCCAUGGUGAACUGCAUCCGAAGGCAAAAAAAGAAGCAGCAAAAGACGCAAUUUCUGGACUGCACGGGGCGUUGUUGCCGGCGUACAGCUUCAGCACCAUGAUUGAAGGAGGUUGGCCUCCUGCCUGCCCUUCCGGUGAUGCCCUGUAACAAAGGAGGGGGAGAUGGAGGUAGGGGAUAGAGGAAGGGCUGCGGUGGAGGCCCUGAGAAUCGCCUGACUACAGUCGACGUUCUGGGAUCCUCUGGUAGGUCGUCGGAGCGAGGGAUCCUCUGGUAGGCCGAAGCGGGGGGGCAAAACGGGGGGGCAUGCAGUGUCCCGGUGCAUGGAGGGCAAGGUGGCCUGAGCCGUGCGCCCAUGCGUGGAUCUCGUUGUCGCGGUGACGGAGAGGUCCUUAGAGGAGACGGGCGGCCUCAUGCAGGGGUGGGAGAGGAGGCAGCUCGCGGGAGGCCUUGCCGGCCCCGAACCGUCGAUGGAGGGCCGCGUGGGGCCGCGGGUGUCCGGAUCUGGCGUGGGGAGGGAGGAGGCGCACUGCAGUGGAAGAAGGUGGUGGCAGCGGUGCACCGGCGUAGAAGGUGGAGGGAGUUGGGGUGUGAGAUGGGAGGCCACUGGUGGUGCCCGUGGCUGCCUACGGGGCCGGGACAGCCGGAUCCUGCGCGGGCAAGGCCCUGAUCUCCGAUUGGGUGCCCGUGGCGGACGGAUCUGGGACUACUGGUGGCCGGGGCUGCGGGGGAGGGUGCGGCAGUGUUGNNNNNNNNNNNNNNNNNNNNNNNNNNNNNNNNNNNNNNNNNNNNNNNNNNNNNNNNNNNNNNNNNNNNNNNNNNNNNNNNNNNNNNNNNNNNNNNNNNNNNNNNNNNNNNNNNNNNNNNNNNNNNNNNNNNNNNNNNNNNNNNNNNNNNNNNNNNNNNNNNNNNNNNNNNNNNNNNNNNNNNNNNNNNNNNNNNNNNNNNNNNNNNNNNNNNNNNNNNNNNNNNNNNNNNNNNNNNNNNNNNNNNNNNNGGUGGCGCUGUAGGUGGCCGGGGCUGCGGGGGAGGGGCACGGCGAUGGUGGCACUGUAGGUGGCUGGUCGUGGCAGCGCACCACCUGGGAAGGAAAGUGGUGGUAGGGGAGGUGGGGUGUGGUGGAGGUGGCUCUGUGGGGUGGUUGGGCGUGGAGUGGAGUGGGGAGAAUGUGGAGGAGUUGAGAUGGGCUACGGGAGGAAGAAGGUGGGGAUGAGCACCGAGCGGGGGUGUUAUCAGAAUAAGCGAAAGUGUUAUUAGAAUAAGGUCUUAAGGGGUGUUAUCAUAAUAGACCCACCCUAUAUUCUGAUCACGGGAUCAGAAUAUUAUUCUGAUCACAACAUGAACUUCCUGAGUUACACGCCUGAACUUCCCUCUGCACGAACCCGACCUUCGGGCUAUCUUGGCAACCGUGUCUCCCCUCGUGAAUUAUUCUCGUUUGUCGUGUUCUAUGUGAUGUAAGUGUAAUCUGAAAAUGUUUUUUAACGACUAAAUGCCCGUUUUAAAUAGGAAUCUCGCUCAUUGGCGGAUUUUGCUCUCGGGUCGUGAUGAACUUGCGUCUGUUGCAAUUUUACUGCCUGAGUUGUUCGACGUGAACUUCCCCCAGUCCUAGGUUGAACUUCCCGCAACAUUGUCAAAAUAGGGCUUGCGAUACACCAUUGGAAAGCUAUGGACACGAGUAUCAUGACCUAAGUUAAAUUUUUGGCAAAAUGUAAGCCGUUUAAGAGUAGUUUUGAAAAUCGUUUUUUCUUCAUACAAAAAACGUGAAUCGUAUUUUCAAUCGCAUUUCUAAAUUGUUUAUCGGAAUAAGGCAAAUAAUAUGGCGUUGGAAAGCUACUGCAAAACCGCUCCUUCCACAUGUUGAUAGUUUUCUGUAAUUCCUUAUGUUUAAAGAGUAAUUUGGAAAAUCGUAAAAUUUUGCAAACCGAACAGUCGAGUUUGUAUUUUCGAUGCCGUUUCUAAGUGGCUAAUCCAAUUGAGGCAAAUGAUAUGGCGUUGGAAAGCUUAUGAAAUUGCGCUCCUUUUUCAUGUUGAAAUUGUUUCCUAAUUGUGAACGGUUUAAGAGUAAUUUAGAAAACGGUACAAGUUCCACCGGGUUCGUAUUUUCGAGCUAAGUUUUUAACCGUACGUCCGACUAUAGCAAAUGAUAUGGCGUUGGAAAGCUCGAACAAAUGCGAAUAAUUUUGUUAUAUAUGGCUUCUCCCAAUUCUCUACGGUUUGAAGUCAAUUUUGAAAAUGGUUAAAAACGUAUUUUUGCCAUUAUUUCUAAAAACUUUAUCGGAAUAGGGUAAAUAAUAUACCAUUGAAACUCUACAGAAAAUGCGAAACUUUUUCAUGUUGAUGGUUUUCUCUUAUUCCUAGCCAUUUUCAAGUAAUUUCAAAAACGGUGAGAUCAUUCGUUCAGCCUUUAUAGCGAAACAGAUUCUUCGAAAAUGCACCGCGGGAAGAACUUGAACUUCUCAACAUGUCUAUUUGAACUCCACUCUGUUUUUUCAUGUGCUUUUUUUGCUCGUAGCUCUCCAUUCACUCACCGGAAUUGAGCAAGUGAUAUACCGAUGGAAAGCUGCUGUAAACACACAACUUUCUCGUGUUGAUCAUUUUUUCAUACUCGCGACGAUUCUAAAAAAAAUUGUGUGAAAUUCAUUCAGUGUAGUAGUAGAACUUCCUGUUGUUUUCAUGUUGAACUUCGGUGACGCUAUUUCCGUUUGUAAUUUUCUCAUCCAUUCGUGAGUGUUACACAAAUGAUAUUCCUUUUGUACAAACAUCUCUCACAAUAAUUUUUUUAACUUUCUCCGAUCGAGGACUUGAACUUAUAACAACAACAAAAUUGGACCUUGCCUUUUAAUUCAUUUUUCUCAUAUUAAACACACACCAUGUAGUAGAUAAACUUUUUAUAUUUUUAUAAUUGAUUUUUUAUUUUCUUUUUGAAAUCAAAUUGAUCCCAAAUAAUAACUGAACUUCUUUGUGGAUUGAGAGAAAUUAUUUUUUUAAAAGCUUUUAUUUUUUAUACUUUUAUUCUCACCUGAAAUGCAUUCCUUGCAGUACUUGAACUUAUCUUUGUUUUCACUAUGAACUUCUGUCAUAUUUUUGUGUAUACGCCGAAAAAUGCUUUUUGUGUCAACAUGAAAAUGAUUUUUUUAUGUAAACAAUGAUGUCGCGCCGUUAUUUUAGUUUGAACUUCUAGUUUUUAUAGAAUGGGGAAAAUAAUUUUUUAUACAAUCUUUUGAAAUGCUCGUCUUUUUAAUUUGAACUUCUCUGAUUUUUUACAAACAGGGAAAAUCCGUUAUAAAGAUUUUUAAACUACUUCUUUUUAACUUCUUGCUCAAAUUUUUUGAACUUCCAAAUUUGUCUUUUAGAUAUAAAGAACUUCAUUUUUUACACGUUGACUUGCUUCGGUUUUUAAAUUUGAACUUCUUAUAGAAUUUUGUCGCGUCAUUUUAUGCAUUUGCUUUUCGGUGAAAUGGCCUAGGCGGUCCCUUUUUUCAUUUGAUCAUUUUUCUUCUGUACGUGGUACACGUGAACUUUGACAUUUCUGAAACAUGAACUUCACAUGCUAUUAAUUUUUUUUCAUGAAACUCCAUAGUUUUUAUUCUUUGAAUUCCAUGAUUUUUUUUGUUUACAUUUUUUUGGUUUGAACUUCGAUGUUCGUUACACGUGAACUUCCGAAAUCACACCUUUUUUAUACACAUUUGCCCUUGAAUCCAACAUGUGCAAAAACAAUAGGAAAAUUUGGGUCAAUUCUCAUAAGCAAUAGGACAAACAUUUAGAGGGCACACAUAAUAGUUUCUUUGUUCUAUUCACUGUACUACGCACAAGCACAUGCACAACACAUCCACAAAAAGAAUUGGCUCACCAAAAUUGGAGUUUCUAGAAAUAUGAAAAUUGGACUUUUGUUAGAAACAUCGAACUUCUUCGUUACUUUGAAUUGAACUUGUUGGUCUUACUCUUUAGUAACCGGAAAAAUUUGAGUUUUUAAAUUAAUAUCAAACUGCUCUCCUUUUGAAAAUUGAACUUCUUCGUUAUUUUGAAUGAACUUAUUUGUUUUAUUCUUUACUAACUAAAAAAAUCAAGUUUUCAAAGAAAUAUCAAAUUGCUCGAUUUUUUUUAAUUUGAACUUCUUGGUUUUAUUUCUUUUAGUAGCGGAAAAAAUUCUAGGUUUAUAAUAAACAUCGAACCACUCAUAUAUUUUUAAUUUGAACUUCUUGAUUUAUUAAUUAGUAUUGAAGAAAAUCCUAGCUUCGCAACAAACAUCGAACAUUUUUAACUUUUGUUUGAACUCCCCAAGGUUUCAUCUAUGAACUUCUUGGUUCUCAUCCUCUUAACUCCAAAGUUUUUUUUUUGCAAUCUCAUGGGUUUAUAUUAUGUUGAAAUAUCUUUUAUUCUUCUGGACUUACAUCUAUCGAGCAAUUGAACUGUUUGAAAAAUAAUUGUACCUACCUUACUCACAGAUGAAUCUUAUCUCCUUUGAUUCGGAAAGGUGUGUAACACAUAGCACAAAUAGAGGCAAUUCUUCUAAUUAUUCUAAUUUGAGACAUAAACACAAAUAACUUCCACAUAUUACUUCUAUUUCUAUUUUUUGGAAAAGAGAAACAAAAACUCAAUUGUACAGUGUGAAGUUAAUUAUUAUUAUUUUGCAAUGUGAAAAGUUGCAUUUUUUAGUGAACUUUACUGUUGUUUUAUUUUCUACCUUUUUAAUACCAAUUGGACUGUGCAAGUUUUGCAUGGUGAACUUCUGUCUUUUCAUUUUUCAAUAAACACAACGAAUUGCUACACACAACAUUUUUAUAUAAAUACCCAGCAGUUGCUCAAAGUCAGUUUUUUUGGCUCACACACUAACUUUCUUGCACCCACAUGUGCGACUGAACUUCAGACAAGAAGUUAUUUAGAAACACUACAUAAGUGCACAUAGUACAACAGCACGGAAACAAGAUUUCUGCUACCGGAGCAAAUUCAAAGCAGUUGCGAUCUAAACGUUUGUGUUCUAACUUAGUUGGGUUCACAACAUGAACUUCAUAAAAAUCUAUACAACAUACAUCACAACACACAAGCAGCACACCCAGUGCACGCAUAAACGCAAGCAUGCACGCACACACCAGUGCACAAACACACACAUUAGCAUGUUCCCCAUGCCACACUCAGGGCGCACUCAUAGGGCGUUGGUGACUGGCCGCAGAGUUCGCGAGGACACAGGGCAGCUGCGGCGGCAGACAGGACAUGACACACCAUGCAGUGCCUUUAUGGACAAGUUAGAAGCACUAGUGCAAGCGCUUAAAGGACUCCGACG